RNAcentral lists this long non-coding RNA (884 nucleotides) under Gossypium barbadense (sea-island cotton). RNAcentral's name for it is "long non-coding RNA (GBAR_LNC004624)". The record is from RNAcentral. Lineage: Eukaryota; Viridiplantae; Streptophyta; Magnoliopsida; Malvales; Malvaceae.
AAAAAAAUUCUCUGAAAGAGAGUUGGGGAGGGGUAUUCGGAGGGUCACCGGACCUCCAUCUAGGGGUCUAUACGCGCUCACGCGCCCUCGUCUUCUCCUCCGCAUGCGGUGGUCGGAGGUUUAAAAACCUCGCCUUUCAAUGCCGAUUAAAGGUAUUGCUUUCUCUUUUCAUUAUUUGCAGUAAAUAUGUACAUAUAUCUAAAAAAUUUCAUCUUUGUGUAUUCAAUCGAUUGAAAUGCUUGCUCUGUAUAUGUGUACGAGAACAAAUUCUUUUACUGAAUCUCUAAAUUUUUAUUGAUUCUCUCUGUGUGUAUUCUUUUUUCGAACGUAAGUCCUUACAUCAUUUUAUUUGGGCUUUUAUAGCCACCGUUUUGUUACAUAAACUGGGAAAGAAAUCUUCGAUUUCUUUCCAUUUCUUGUCCACUGUAUCCACCGUAUCUUUGAUUGUGAUAUGCUGAAAACCUUUUAUUUUAGUUUCCCUUUUUUGUUUUUCCGUAUCUACUGUGUUUCCUUUUCUUUUGCAGGUACUUGCGAGAAAUCUGGUGGUGACGAGGGCUGGUGUAGUUUCGCACGCUGAUUUCGAAGGCAAAGUCACAGCGCUGAUGGCCUUGAUUGGGGAGCUGGACAGACGCUCCCCGAACCUUCUAGAACCUGUUGCGGCGCGAGGGGAAAGAACCCUAGCUGAUAAUUUUAGGUUUUUGGGCCUCUGUUGUUUGGGUCUAGUUUAGGUCUAGGCUUCGAGUGUAUUUGGGUUAAGGUUGUAAGUGGGUCCACUGGGUAGCUUUAGGCCUACUAGGUGGUAUCCGGGUAAAUGGGUCUGAGAUGUUUGAUUUUGGGCCCACUGUUUAGGCUUUGUAACAUGAACUGUUUAUUUUUGAAUGGAC